GUUUCCAUGGUGUAGUGGUUAUCACGUGCGCCUCACACGCGCAAAGUCCCCGAUUCAAUCCCGGGCGGAAACA
Molecule: non-coding RNA, 73 nt
Organism: Rhipicephalus microplus (southern cattle tick)
Lineage: Eukaryota; Metazoa; Arthropoda; Arachnida; Ixodida; Ixodidae
Source: the annotation of a RefSeq genome assembly